Molecule: ribosomal RNA, 403 nt
Filed under: uncultured bacterium
Lineage: Bacteria
Description: bacterial SSU rRNA
Rfam family: Bacterial small subunit ribosomal RNA
Source: RNAcentral
UAUUGCACAAUGGGCGCAAGCCUGAUGCAGCAACGCCGCGUGGGGGAUGACGGCCUUCGGGUUGUAAACCUCUUUUGGCAAGGAAGAAGGGCUUCGGCUUGACGGUACUUGCAGAAAAAGGACCGGCUAACUACGUGCCAGCAGCCGCGGUAAUACGUAGGGUCCGAGCGUUGUCCGGAAUUAUUGGGCGUAAAGAGCUCGUAGGCGGUUUGUCGCGUCUGCUGUGAAAACUAGAGGCUCAACCUCUAGCCUGCAGUGGGUACGGGCAGACUGGAGUGCGGUAGGGGAGAAUGGAAUUCCUGGUGUAGCGGUGGAAUGCGCAGAUAUCAGGAGGAACACCGAUGGCGAAGGCAGUUCUCCGGGCCGUAACUGACGCUGAGGAGCGAAAGCGUGGGGAGCGAAC